This 1632-nucleotide ribosomal RNA is filed under the name Triticum aestivum (bread wheat). RNAcentral describes it as "partial small subunit ribosomal RNA". Lineage: Eukaryota; Viridiplantae; Streptophyta; Magnoliopsida; Poales; Poaceae. The record is from RNAcentral.
GCAAUCAAGCCGCGUCUGUGAAAGUACAACUUAGCUGUGGGUCCCCGGAUCGAGGCGUAAGCCGUGGGGCUUGGGAUCGAGGUGUAAACCGUGGGGCUCGGGGCGCGGAGCUCGGGGCGGCGGCGGCCGCGAGUACCCAGAGAAACGAUAGCGGGUGGCCAGUCGCUAGAGGAUGCGGCGCGGGGAGGCGCGGAGGCGGAGCCGGCAGCACAGGCUUCUCGCAGGCAAGAAUAACUGCUACUUGGUGGGUAGAGGGGGUGAGGCGCGGUGCUCUCCGGAAGAGGCGCUGCUCUGGAGGACGGUGCUGUGCGACACGGUCAACCGCCGACCUUAGUACGUUUCGAGGGGUCCGCUGCGCCGGAAGUAGAGUUCACUAUCCCGGAGGAUGGUGCUGUUCGGUGAACUCUACCCUCCACCUUCUAGGGGUUUACACGUUUCGAUAGGCCACUGAAGCCCAGCUACCUCCCGGUGACUCGAUAGACGUGUACACCGUACCGGUUCCUCGACGAGCAAACCUUCCUCCGCCGUCAAAAGCAGUUGAAGUUCACCCCGAUUCGACGGAGACUAUUAGACUAAAGUGUUAACUACAUGUGUUUAAUAGAACUAUAACGUAACCUAUUCACCGACCUAGGGUAGUGUAUACGCUUCUUAAAAGGUGAAGACGUACUUCAUUUCCGUCUUUUCAACUAAUCUCUUCUUCUAAACUUACGACGUUGGUGAAGUUCCAUGCUCAAUUGUCUUCUCCCUCUGUCAUGGUAACUGAGUUAAGACAGUAAUUAACGACACUUGGAAUACUCCCCCGCCUUACAAUGGUUCAACUAAUUACACAUGUUGGACCGUUAUAGUUGAUCAGCACGACCCAAGCGUAAGUCCUGUUGCCGUUACCUUCUACUCGACUGUCCUAAACUAUUAGUAGUAAACCGAAUGUUCCGUCGCAAUCCAAACUAUGCCGUUUACGACCUCCGUAGACAACCACCACGUCAAGACCUGCUCCUCGAAGGACCUCCGGAAGACUUAGAAGAACUGUUUGAAUCACUACGAUAUGAGCAUCUGUUCGCUAACGAGUGAACAGUACGGUCAUAGGAAUUUGGAGGCCGCAACGUUGUCGACGACGUUUCCUAACUGGAAUGGGAACCACUACUUACAUCACUUAAACCAUGUGUUCUACUGAAGGUGGCGUCCCUAACAAACGAACGCCGUAACGGUAUGAACCUACGACUAUUAAGUAUGACGGACGUAUUGGUGGUAGGUACAAAAAGUGUCACCGAACUGAAGGCGAAAUUUGUCUUUUUUUUCUCCACAUUACUGGGUCGUUUCUAACCCGGAGGUACCGGCAAUAAAUAACGACCUGCCAGUAACCACUCCAAUGUGUCCAUACCGAACAGAGUGGGCAUACCACAACGAGUCUAACGUGGUCUCUGUGGAAUACUAUGGAGACUACAAGACUUCGACAAAUUCAAGGCAAAGAGCUUCAUGGGACGUCUUCGAGUUCUACCUAAGAGUUUUCGGCCCACCCAACUCUUUAACCUAUACGGUCCAAACACGGGUCUUUUCCUUCUCAAACGACCCACCUGUCUACAGUUCUACCUGCUUCUACCGUUUUGUUAGGAUGAUUACAUCAAAUCAAGUAAC